This 71-nucleotide transfer RNA is filed under the name Sardinella melanura (blacktip sardinella). Its description in RNAcentral is "tRNA-Cys". It matches the Rfam family "tRNA". Rfam says of the family: Transfer RNA (tRNA) molecules are approximately 80 nucleotides in length. Their secondary structure includes four short double-helical elements and three loops (D, anti-codon, and T loops). Lineage: Eukaryota; Metazoa; Chordata; Actinopteri; Clupeiformes; Clupeidae. The record is from RNAcentral.
AAGCUCUGUGGUGAAGUUCAUGUCAGGUUGCAAACCUGAAGACGUAGGCUAACAGCCUGCCGGGGCUUUCC